Molecule: long non-coding RNA, 1011 nt
Filed under: Pongo abelii (Sumatran orangutan)
Lineage: Eukaryota; Metazoa; Chordata; Mammalia; Primates; Hominidae
Description: lincRNA
Source: RNAcentral
CCAGGAUCCGCCAGGAUUGGGGAGGGAGGCAGGAGGCUUCUCUAGGUAUAAAGCAGCUGGAAUGUGGAGUUUCCUCCCAGGAGCCGAGAGUGCGUCCAUGGGCCCAGCACCUGGCGUGCCCUCCCUGGGAGCUUGCUGGACGCAUGACCAGGAUUCUGGGAGGGCAGAGGACAGACUGCAGGCACCCAGGAUAACUCAGCACACACGGGUUCUCAGCUUCCUGUUCACACAGAAACCUCGGACAAGAAGCACGUUGCCCAUUUUUCAUCAAGGCCAACCCCAGACCACGAGAACGCUUUCUCCGCGUCAGCCCCAGCACCCCAGCGCCCCUGCCUCCAGGCGCCCACGGCCGCCGCACUCCAGUGGCCCGGACCUGGCUGAGGCAGCUCCCGUGGUAGAUCAGGCCUCACAGGCGGCUGGAAGAGCCAGUUCUGGGCCGGGCCUGUGGGAACAGGCGUCUGUUAGUCAGGGUUUCAGGAAUGCCGCCUUCGGAGCCUGAAGCGGGGAAUGGCGGCUCUGGGCCCUCAAGGGGCAGCCGGUGAGCCUGGGAGGCCAGGCCCGGCUGACCCAAGGGGAGAGGGACCCUCUCCGCCCACUGCCGCUGGCCCUGGGCAGGUCUAGAGCCUGGGGGUCCCCAGAGGCACAAUCCCUUAUCUCCGGGAGAAGGCAGAGCGCAGAGGCAGGAUACAAAUCUCCUGUCAGAAUUCCCAGUUAAAAUACUAAGUGAUGGCUCCAGGCUCGGACACUGGACACGGAGAGAAUAAGGGACAAUCAGCCCCGACAGCCUGGGCUAACAAGACGGUUAAUUACAGCCCGAGAAGAACGUUAACAGUAUUCAUUCUAACCACAAAGGAGGAAAAGAGAAGACUGCCACCCUUGCCCCAGCCCUGCCUGGCCCCUCCCACCCUUGCCCCAGCCCCUGCCUGGUCCUGCCCACCUCACCCCAGCACCUCCUAUGGGACUCACGCCUUUGUCUCGGGCUUUUGGUUUUCAAAAUAAAUUAUAAGUUUU